AAAGUAGUGUGCAGCCAAGGAUGACUUGCCGAUUUAUAAUAUCUUUAUAAAAACUUUGUUAAGAUAUUUUUUUUUUUCAAAUUCAUUGGUUUUGAGAAGUUAGGAAGGAAUAAUUAGGAUAUACAAUUAUUUCGCAUUUUAAAGAAAAUUAACAUGAUCGGCAAGUUGCCCUUGGCUAUACGCUUCUUUGU
RNAcentral lists this microRNA precursor (191 nucleotides) under Brassica napus (rape). Lineage: Eukaryota; Viridiplantae; Streptophyta; Magnoliopsida; Brassicales; Brassicaceae. The record is from RNAcentral. RNAcentral also lists the same sequence under 1 other name.